RNAcentral lists this ribosomal RNA (405 nucleotides) under uncultured bacterium. Its description in RNAcentral is "bacterial SSU rRNA". It matches the Rfam family "Bacterial small subunit ribosomal RNA", at positions 976 to 1381 of the family's 1533-position model. The record is from RNAcentral.
UAGCCUUGACAUAUAUUAGAACUCACCAGAGAUGGAGAGGUGCCUUCGGGAGCUUUUAUACAGGUGCUGCACGGCUGUCGUCAGCUCGUGUCGUGAGAUGUUGGGUUAAGUCCCGCAACGAGCGCAACCCUCGUCACUAGUUACUAACGGUUCGGCCGAGGACUCUAGUGAGACUGCCUUCGUAAGGAGGAGGAAGGUGAGGACGACGUCAAGUCAUCAUGGCCCUUACGGCUAGGGCAACACACGUGCUACAAUGGUUAGGACAAUGAGAAGCGAUACCGCGAGGUGGAGCAAAUCUAUAAACCUAAUCUCAGUUCGGAUAGCAGUCUGCAACUCGACUGCUUGAAGCUGGAAUCACUAGUAAUCGUAAAUCAGCUAUGUUACGGUGAAUACGUUCCCGGGUCU